This 300-nucleotide long non-coding RNA is filed under the name Canis lupus dingo (dingo). Its description in RNAcentral is "lncRNA (ENSCAFG00020001501.1)". Lineage: Eukaryota; Metazoa; Chordata; Mammalia; Carnivora; Canidae. The record is from RNAcentral.
CCGGGACAGACAGUCUCCCAAGGACACGGUUUCCUUGCAGAAUAAUGGAAAUUUAGGCACCAGACAGAAAGUCAAGACGGGGACUUCUGGUCUACCCGGGAGACUAAGGUGGCCGACGGCGUUUCGUUGAUUCCCUGGAGGACCCUUCACAUGUGUGCUCCCGAUGGAAAAAUCAGAACGCUCCUUUUGCUUUACGGAGAAUCCCAUCUAACACACAGGACAUGGGGUUGGUGUGAACCCAAGGCGCAGAGGCCAACACCUGUGCCAUCUGUGCUCAUGGAGAGCUGGAGAAUCCGAUGA